CUUGGUAACAGUGGCUGGCUGGGGACAGUGAGGACUGAACAGUGGAAGAUGGGCCCCGGGUCUGGCACAUACGGGCACUCGGAGAAGCGUCCGUGAGGCCGUCAUGGUGUGGCAGUCGGUGUUCCCUGUGAGUAGCGACGACAUCAGCAGGCGUUCCUUGGACAUUUGCAGUGUGCCAGGCCCUCACCUGAGUUGGAUCCCACAACAGUCCUAUGAGGAAGGCGCCUACUGUGUGUCAAUGCCCAGGACAGUGAGAGGAGAGACAUGGUCACGCCUCCAGGGCUCUGCAGAGGAGCAGGAGGGGCAGACAGUCGGGAGGCCAUGCCCAGG
Long non-coding RNA from Sciurus carolinensis (gray squirrel), 330 nucleotides. RefSeq lists it as uncharacterized. The transcript is spliced from 3 exons. NCBI's taxonomy places the organism in Eukaryota, Metazoa, Chordata, Mammalia, Rodentia, Sciuridae. The record is from RefSeq and is a predicted model, not a curated record.